CAGCAGCCGCGGGAAUACGGAGGGUGCAAGCGUUAUCCGGAUUCACUGGGUUUAAAGGGUGCGUAGGCGGAUCUGUAAGCCAGUGGUGAAAUCUCCAGGCUUAACCUGGAAACUGCCGUUGAUACUAUAGGUCUUGAAUUUUGUGGAGGUUAGCGGAAUAUGUCAUGUAGCGGUGAAAUGCAUAGAUAUGACAUAGAACACCAAUUGCGAAGGCAGCUGGCUACACAACUAUUGACGCUGAGGCACGAAAGCGUGGGGAUCAAACAGGAUUAGAUACCCCAGUAGUCCCUGUCUCUUAUAC
This 301-nucleotide ribosomal RNA is filed under the name uncultured bacterium. RNAcentral describes it as "partial 16S ribosomal RNA". It matches the Rfam family "Bacterial small subunit ribosomal RNA", at positions 509 to 807 of the family's 1533-position model. The record is from RNAcentral.